AGGUGGAGCAAAUCCCUAAAAGCCAUCCCAGUUCGGAUCGCAGGCUGCAACCCGCCUGCGUGAAGUUGGAAUCGCUAGUAAUCGCGGAUCAGCAUGCCGCGGUGAAUACGUUCCCGGGCCUUGUACACACCGCCCGUCACACCAUGAGAGUCGGGAACACCCGAAGUCCGUAGCCUAACUGCAAAGGGGGCGCGGCCGAAGGUGGGUUCGAUAAUUGGGGUGAAGUCGUAACAAGGUAUC
RNAcentral lists this ribosomal RNA (240 nucleotides) under uncultured bacterium. Its description in RNAcentral is "partial 16S ribosomal RNA". It matches the Rfam family "Bacterial small subunit ribosomal RNA", at positions 1260 to 1500 of the family's 1533-position model. The record is from RNAcentral.